UUAACUAUUUUAUAGUACUCAGACGACACUAAUAUUCAGAGUUUGAUGGUCCUCUGGCGGGCACGCCGGGACGAAUCCCAGGCAAGCCAGGCUCGCGGCCCGCCAAAGCAACAGUUGUAUAACUUCAAGGGUGGGAGGUCUACCCCGAGGGGCAUGAACUCUGUAAUGAUCCUUCCGCAGGUUCACCUACGGAAA
RNAcentral lists this unclassified non-coding RNA (195 nucleotides) under uncultured fungus. Its description in RNAcentral is "sequence contains ITS1". The record is from RNAcentral. Lineage: Eukaryota; Fungi.